GACGAACGCUGGCGGCGUGCCUAAUACAUGCAAGUAGAACGCUGAAGGGGGAGCUUGCCCUUCUGGAUGAGUUGCGAACGGGUGAGUAACGCGUAGGUAACCUGCCUGGUAGCGGGGGAUAACUAUUGAAAACGAUAGCUAAUACCGCAUAACAGUAGAUGUUGCAUGACAUUUGCUUAAAAGGUGCCAUUGCAUCACUACCAGAUGGACCUGCGUUGUAUUAGCUAGGUGGUCGGGUAACGGCUCACCAAAGGGACGAUACAUAGCCGACCUGGGAGGGGGGUCCGCCACACUGGGAAUGGGGAAAGGCCCAAGAUCCCUCGGGGGGGAGCAGGAGGGGAUCUUCGGAAAUGGAGGGAAGGCUGACCGAGGAACGCCGCGGGGGGGGAGAAAGGUUUCGGGUCGGAAAGGUCUGUUGUGAGAGGAGAACGGGUGGGAGGGUGGAAAGUUCACGCUGUGACGUUAUCUUACCAGAAAGGAACGGCUAACUACGUG
This 495-nucleotide ribosomal RNA is filed under the name uncultured bacterium. Its description in RNAcentral is "partial 16S ribosomal RNA". It matches the Rfam family "Bacterial small subunit ribosomal RNA", at positions 28 to 507 of the family's 1533-position model. The record is from RNAcentral.